Alligator mississippiensis (American alligator) is the source of this 524-nucleotide non-coding RNA. The record is from the annotation of a RefSeq genome assembly. NCBI's taxonomy places the organism in Eukaryota, Metazoa, Chordata, Crocodylia, Alligatoridae.
AGCAGCAAGAUGCUGUGGCAGACUCAGCUCCUCUGGCUCAUCAUGCUCUGGGCUCAGGGCUCCAGCGGGGACAUUCUUGUAACCCAGGCUCCAGAGUCCCUGGUGGUGUCUCCAGGAGACACAGUCACCAUCGAGUGCAAAACCAGCUCCAGUGUUAGCACCCACAUGGACCUCUUCCAGCAGAAACCAGGGCAAGCUCCUAAGAUCUUUGUCUACAACACAAAUACCCGCCCCUCCGGGAUCCCCGACCGGUUCAGUGGCAGUGGCUCUGGCACCGACUUCACUUUCACCAUCAGCCACAUAGAAGCCGAUGAUGCUGGAGAUUAUUACUGCAUGCAGAAUACCCAGUGGCCUCGCACAGUGCUACAGCCCUGUACAAAAACCUCCCUGCUCUGUUCAGCUCUGUUGCUCUCAGCACCGGCUUCCUGUACAGUCACAGACCAGUGACUGCUGACAAUUUACAGCAGGGCCAGGUGGUGCUCACGUUUACAGCCUUGCAGCCACCACUUCUUCCACUCAGUAAA